UGCUUCCUACGGGGGGCAGCAGUAGGGAAUCUUCCACAAUGGGCGAAAGCCUGAUGGAGCAACGCCGCGUGGGUGAAGAAGGGUUUCGGAUCGUAAAACCCUGUUGUUAGGGAAGAAAGUGCGUGAGAGUAACUGUUCACGUUUCGACGGUAUCUAACCAGAAAGCCACGGCUAACUACGUGCCAGCAGCCGCGGUAAUACGUAGGUGGCAAGCGUUAUCCGGAUUUAUUGGGCGUAAAGGGAACGCAGGCGGUCUUUUAAGUCUGAUUUGAAAGCCUUCGGCUUAACCGGA
RNAcentral lists this ribosomal RNA (292 nucleotides) under uncultured bacterium. RNAcentral describes it as "partial 16S ribosomal RNA". It matches the Rfam family "Bacterial small subunit ribosomal RNA", at positions 333 to 617 of the family's 1533-position model. The record is from RNAcentral.